CUUGGAGUGCUUUACUCAAAAUGUACAAAAAGCAGAGCUUUUGGGUUCCUUAAAGAGAGUUAGUGAAGAUUAAUGAUAAAUUGUAUUACAAGUCUUUUUAAUAUAAGGAAAUUGUGGCUUCACUGUGCAGAUGUUCCUGAGUGGACAUAGCGAAGCUACCACAGGCCUACGCACUCUUCCUAUUCAACAACCACAUUGCAAAGUCAGUCUAAACAUACAGUACUUUAAUAACAGUAUCUAGAUAUCCAAACAUCACUGGUGAUGUUUUGCUCAUGUUAUGUUAAAGUCACAAAACCAAUGAUUUGCUUCCCGGAAAGAAACUUUAUGCCAAAUGGAUUUCACAAACCGCCGUGUCAAAUGGAUUUCACAAACACCAAUAGCAAAUACAAUUACUUUACAUAAACCCAGCACCAGCUGUGAAAGACAUUCUGAAAUCAGAACAACGGUUUUAACUUUGAGUUGUUAAAACGUUUAAGUUAGGUCAUUGUAACCAAAUGAUGAAAAUCAUGUACUUACUUACACAAUAUAAUGGUACUGUAUUUGAAGAUAAAAAAUAUUGAUCUCAGUCUAAUAUUAAUAUAUUAUACUAUAACAGAUGUUAGGGAAAUAAAAUGAAGGCCUUUUCAGUGUGUUAACAUUUGGCUAAAAUUAUGUCUGGCUGUUUUAUUACAUGAUGUCAUAUAACAUCUCUUUCUCCAUAGUCCCAUUUAGGUCAUUGACUUAGGAAGUUUUCAUAAAGAACCAACCUAAACACCACAGAGCAAUGCGACAACACAAAACAAAAAUACAUACCAACAGCCACUUUACAGUUAAAUUGACAUGGAUUAUGUCCUCGGAAAAAGCACAGCAGCUCCUUGACAUUAAAUUAGAAAAACAACAUUCUCACUCAUUUAAUAUUUGUGCAAAUAAUUUCAAUACUCAAAAUGGGUUCUGUUAAAUUACUGAUUGUGAGAACUACAAUAAUUUACAACAGUGCUACAAAUGUUAUUCCAUCCUGUAAAAUACUUUGAAAAGAUUCAUAAGAAUGCUUUGGCCUUACCAGUCAAAAGGAGUCAUGCCGAUUUAUCCAAAGCAGGUCUGAAUGAUUUGACUCAGACAAAAUGCGUUUAGGCUACUGAUAUAUAUUUAUAUAUAUAUAUAUAUAUUUAGGAGGUAUUUGCUAAAGAGCACCAGUCAAGUCAGUAAUGCAACACUAAGGUGAGUAAGGACAUGAAGCCACUGCAGAAAAGGCAGCACGAUUGGUCGGCGCCUGCCGCACGAUUGGUCGGCGCCUGCCGCACGAUUGGUCGGCGCCUGCCGCACGAUUGGUCGGCGCCUACCUGGAAAACUCUUAUGAUGUGCAAGAGAUCACAUGGAAUCAAUAUGAAUGUGCAAAACAUUGACGUUACCAUGAGAGUUGCCCUGGGUUGGUCCAGUGGAUCUGGCCCGCUGCCUCCGCAAGUACUGCUGUAGCAUGGGUUCAAAUACGGCCCAUCUGCUUUCAGCAAAAACACCCUCCUCCAACUUUACCCACUGUCUCCAUCUCUAAAGCAUUAAAAAAACGCUGGAAAAAUGUUUAAAAAAUAGAUUUACAAAGACACCAUGUGAGGAAUAAUGCGCUCAGAUCUCGUUCUGUUCAAGCUGUUCUUUCAAACUUACACUCAAUACAGAAUUGAUGUUAGGUGCUAACAAUGUAAAGCAUGUCUCAGGGUCCACGCACAUGGCAAAGGUCAAAUCGAGCCAAAGCAAACGAAUAACUUACAAAAGAUGACAUAGGAAGUUACUUCCUCAAAGCUACUCAGACGGAAUUCUCAGAUAAGACACGUGAAUGUCUUUAUACCCUCAGAUUGGGCCCAGGUAGACACGUGAAUGUCUUUAAACCCUCAGAUUGGGCCCAGGUAGACACGUGAAUGUCUUUAAACCCUCAGAUUGGGCCCAGGUAGACACGUGAAUGUCUUUAAACCCUCAGAUUGGGCCCAGGUAGACACGUGAAUGUCUUUAAACCCUCAGAUUGGGCCCAGGUAGACACGUGAAUG
This is a long non-coding RNA of Esox lucius (northern pike), 2015 nucleotides long. The record is from Ensembl. Lineage: Eukaryota; Metazoa; Chordata; Actinopteri; Esociformes; Esocidae.